RNAcentral lists this ribosomal RNA (550 nucleotides) under uncultured bacterium. RNAcentral describes it as "bacterial SSU rRNA". It matches the Rfam family "Bacterial small subunit ribosomal RNA", at positions 355 to 896 of the family's 1533-position model. The record is from RNAcentral.
UAGGGAAUCUUCGGCAAUGGACGGAAGUCUGACCGAGCAACGCCGCGUGAGUGAAGAAGGUUUUCGGAUCGUAAAGCUCUGUUGUAAGAGAAGAACGAGUGUGAGAGUGGAAAGUUCACACUGUGACGGUAUCUUACCAGAAAGGGACGGCUAACUACGUGCCAGCAGCCGCGGUAAUACGUAGGUCCCGAGCGUUGUCCGGAUUUAUUGGGCGUAAAGCGAGCGCAGGCGGUUAGAUAAGUCUGAAGUUAAAGGCUGUGGCUUAACCAUAGUAGGCUUUGGAAACUGUUUAACUUGAGUGCAAGAGGGGAGAGUGGAAUUCCAUGUGUAGCGGUGAAAUGCGUAGAUAUAUGGAGGAACACCGGUGGCGAAAGCGGCUCUCUGGCUUGUAACUGACGCUGAGGCUCGAAAGCGUGGGGAGCAAACAGGAUUAGAUACCCUGGUAGUCCACGCUGUAAACGAUGAGUGCUAGGUGUUAGACCCUUUCCGGGGUUUAGUGCCGUAGCUAACGCAUUAAGCGCUCCGCCUGGGGAGUACGACCGCAAGGUUG